Molecule: long non-coding RNA, 1440 nt
Filed under: Astyanax mexicanus (Mexican tetra)
Lineage: Eukaryota; Metazoa; Chordata; Actinopteri; Characiformes; Acestrorhamphidae
Description: lncRNA (ENSAMXG00005013324.1)
Source: RNAcentral
CUUGAACUCAUUGAUAAUUUGCAUUAACUUACCAUAAGUCUAGAACUAUGAAUGAGAGCCACCAUUCAUUUCAAACAGGAGGGCUUUAAUGUUAUCUAAUGCUUUUGUCCUCAGGUUUGGGAUACCCAGGGGGAGCAGACUACAGAGUAGGAGCUGGAAAACCUGGGAAAUCAGGAUAUGGAGGAUUGGGUGGAGCUGGAGGCACUGGACUUGGAGCUGGAGGUGCAGGUGGGGGUGUGGGUGGAGGUCCUGGAGGCAUAGGUGGAGGGCUAGGGGGAUUGGGAGGAGGGGCUGGUGGCCCAGCAGGAACUGGAGGAGGUAUGUGGAUAUGUGUAUGGAGUACUGAUAGGUGUCCACACCCAUCUGUUUUAAUUUGAUAUAAAUCUGAUUUAAUAUAUGGUCGUUCUGGUUUCAGGCCUCAGGUAUCCAGGAGGUGCGGGUAUUGGAGCUGGGAAGCCUGGUAAAUCAGGAUAUGGCACAGGUGCCUUGGGUGGUCAAGGCUACCUGCCAGGAGGUGGACAGCCUGGCUAUGGUGGGGGUGGUCCAGGUGGCUAUCAGCAGCCUUUCCCAGGUAAUAAGUUCACUCCCUCAAAUUUUUUUUAAUGAUUGGGAUUUAGCUACAGUUGAUAAAUAUUACAUCAACAGAAAUGCAUUGAACGCCAUAAUGUUCUUCCCUAUUAGGUUAUGGUGGAGCUGGAGCAGGAGGAGCUGGAAGUGCUCCACUUACACCUCAACAAUCAAAGGCAGCCAAAUAUGCAGCUCUCCAGGGCAUUCUAGGAGGCUAUAGAGGAGGUGCUGGGUGCCAAGGGAAAUACUGCAGGAACAGGAGGAAAUGAGAGCCAAGCAAAGAGAAGUGACCUCAGAAACCAGUGGUGCUACUGCCUAAUCUCGAAUGAACUUUGCAAUGUGCACUUCCUUGUGCACUCAGGGCACAGUGUAAGCUCCCCUUAUUAUAUUUGCACACCAAAAUACAAAUAUAGUCAUUACAUCAGCACACCACAAGAGGGUAUGAGUGAACUCAUCAGUAUAUGAACUCGUAUCCACUAGUUUAUGGCUGGUGUACGUACAGUGUUUCAGAUUAAUUAGAGCGGCAGGUUGAAACUAAUAACACUGUUUUAGUUUCAUGUGCUCAACACUGUUUCAAAUAACAAGCUAUUUACUAAGAAUGUAACCGUCUUUUUAUACUCUGUUCCACUUUAGACAUUCACAUGAGUUCCUAUUUCUGUUCUUGUGUUUCAGUUCAUUUAGUUUGUUUGGUAAGAGAACAUAACAUGCUUUUUGGUUUCUCACACCUAAUUUGUGAGUUUUUAACAAUGUAUUUUAGACUAAAAAUAAGCUCAUAGCUGCUCAUAGCUGAUUUAUUGAGAAGUUUCUCCUCAAUUCUAGAAGAUAUUCCGUACUCAAGAACAAGAAUAAAACCUAAUAAGUUUAGUUUACUCA